GGUGGCUUAGUGGUAGAGUGCAUGGCUAACAUGCAUGAAGCCCUGAGUUCAAUUCCUCAGUACCA
RNAcentral lists this transfer RNA (65 nucleotides) under Dipodomys ordii (Ord's kangaroo rat). It matches the Rfam family "tRNA". From Rfam's summary of the family: Transfer RNA (tRNA) molecules are approximately 80 nucleotides in length. Their secondary structure includes four short double-helical elements and three loops (D, anti-codon, and T loops). The record is from Rfam by way of RNAcentral. Lineage: Eukaryota; Metazoa; Chordata; Mammalia; Rodentia; Heteromyidae.